GUGGGGAAUCUUGCGCAAUGGGGGAAACCCUGACGCAGCAACGCCGCGUGAGUGAUGAAGGUCUUCGGAUCGUAAAGCUCUGUCGGCAGGAACGAUGGAUAGGUUGGAUAACACCCAACAAAUCUGACGGUACCUGCAAAGGAAGCACCGGCUAACUCUGUGCCAGCAGCCGCGGUAAGACAGAGGGUGCAAGCGUUGUUCGGAAUUAUUGGGCGUAAAGGGCGCGUAGGCGGCUAUGUAAGUCAAAUGUGAAAGCCCGGGGCUUAACCCCGGAAGUGCAUCUGAUACUGCGUAGCUUGAGUCUCGGAGAGGGUGGUGGAAUUCCUGGUGUAGAGGUGAAAUUCGUAGAUAUCAGGAGGAACACCGGUGGCGAAGGCGACCACCUGGACGAAGACUGACGCUGAGGCGCGAAAGCGUGGGGAGCAAACAGGAUUAGAUACCCGUGUAGUCC
RNAcentral lists this ribosomal RNA (451 nucleotides) under uncultured bacterium. Its description in RNAcentral is "bacterial SSU rRNA". It matches the Rfam family "Bacterial small subunit ribosomal RNA", at positions 354 to 796 of the family's 1533-position model. The record is from RNAcentral.